Molecule: non-coding RNA, 122 nt
Organism: Caenorhabditis elegans
Lineage: Eukaryota; Metazoa; Nematoda; Chromadorea; Rhabditida; Rhabditidae
Source: Ensembl
GGAAAAUGAAGGAGUUUCGGGUGCGCGAAGGUGACUUUUCUCGUUUUCUCGUCGCCUCUCUCAAGCUUGAACUGUCUUGACUGACUGUUUCGGCGCGGCAGCUGGCUCGCAGGAGCCUCCUU